Molecule: ribosomal RNA, 367 nt
Filed under: Eukaryota sp.
Lineage: Eukaryota
Description: SSU rRNA
Rfam family: Eukaryotic small subunit ribosomal RNA
Source: RNAcentral
UCGUUAACGAACGAGACCUCGACCUGCUAACUAGUGCAGCGCAGCAUUCGUGCUGCGGUCGUUGCGCACUUCUUAGAGGGACUAUCGGUGUGUAGCCGAUGGAAGUUCGAGGCAAUAACAGGUCUGUGAUGCCCUUAGAUGUUCUGGGCCGCACGCGCGCUACACUGACGGGUUCAUCGAGCUAAGCAUUUGUUACCUUGACUGACAGGUCUGGGGAAUCUUGGAAUGCCCGUCGUGCUGGGGAUAGACCCUUGGAAUUAUGGAUCUUGAACGAGGAAUUCCUAGUAAACGCAAGUCAUCAGCUUGCAUUGAUUACGUCCCUGCCCUUUGUACACACCGCCCGUCGCUAGUACCGAUUGAAUGGAUA